Molecule: ribosomal RNA, 497 nt
Filed under: uncultured bacterium
Lineage: Bacteria
Description: partial 16S ribosomal RNA
Rfam family: Bacterial small subunit ribosomal RNA
Source: RNAcentral
GACGAACGCUGGCGGCGUGCCUAAUACAUGCAAGUCGAGCGCUGAAGGUUGGUACUUGUAUCAACUGGAUGAGCAGCGAACGGGUGAGUAACGCGUGGGGAAUCUGCCUUUGAGCGGGGGACAACAUUUGGAAACGAAUGCUAAUACCGCAUAAAAACUUUAAACACAAGUUUUAAGUUUGAAAGAUGCAAUUGCAUCACUCAAAGAUGAUCCCGCGGUGUAUUAGCUAGUUGGUGAGGUAAAGGCCCACCAAGGCGAUGAUACAUAGCCGACCUGGGAGGGUGGACGGCCACAUUGGGACUGGGACACGGGCCAAGCUCCUACGGGGAGGAGCAAUAGGGGAACUUCGGCAAUGGGCGAAAGGCUGGACGAACAACGCCGCGGGGGGGAAGGAGGUUUUCGGGUCGGAAAACUCUGUUGGUAGGGGAGAAAGUUGAGGAGAGUGAAAAGCUCAUCAAGUGACGGUAACUACCCAGAAAGCAACGGCUAACUACGUG